This 207-nucleotide ribosomal RNA is filed under the name uncultured bacterium. Its description in RNAcentral is "partial 16S ribosomal RNA". It matches the Rfam family "Bacterial small subunit ribosomal RNA", at positions 568 to 774 of the family's 1533-position model. The record is from RNAcentral.
CGCGUAGGCGGGGUGUCAAGUUAGGGGUGAAAGGCCUGGGCUCAACCUAGGAACUGCCUCUAAAACUGAUACUCUAGAGUCCGGGAGAGGAUGGCGGAAUUCCCAGUGUAGAGGUGAAAUUCGUAGAUAUUGGGAAGAACACCAGUGGCGAAGGCGGCCAUCUGGUCCGGCACUGACGCUGAGGCGCGAAAGCGUGGGGAGCAAACA